This 495-nucleotide ribosomal RNA is filed under the name uncultured Rickettsiella sp. RNAcentral describes it as "partial 16S ribosomal RNA". It matches the Rfam family "Bacterial small subunit ribosomal RNA", at positions 8 to 490 of the family's 1533-position model. Lineage: Bacteria; Pseudomonadati; Pseudomonadota; Gammaproteobacteria; Legionellales; Coxiellaceae. The record is from RNAcentral.
AGAGUUUGAUCCUGGCUCAGAUUGAACGCUGGCGGCAUGCCUAACACAUGCAAGUCGAACGGCAGCACAGUGUGUAGCAAUACACAUGGGUGGCGAGUGGCGGACGGGUGAGUAAUGCGUAGGAAUCUACCUUCAAGUGGGGGAUAGCCCGGAGAAAUCCGGAUUAAUACCGCAUGUUCUCUACGGAGAAAAGCGGGCCUCUGUUUCAAGCUCGCGCUUGAAGAUGAGCCUACGUCGGAUUAGCUAGUUGGUAGGGUAAAAGCCUACCAAGGCGACGAUCCGUAGCUGGUUUGAGAGGAUGAUCAGCCACACUGGGACUGAGACACGGCCCAGACUCCUACGGGAGGCAGCAGUGGGGAAUAUUGGACAAUGGGCGCAAGCCUGAUCCAGCAAUGCCGCGUGUGUGAAGAAGGCCUGCGGGUUGUAAAGCACUUUUAUCGGGAAAGAAAAGCUUGGGGCUAAUAUCUUCAAGCCUUGACGGUACCCGUGAAUAAG